This 492-nucleotide ribosomal RNA is filed under the name uncultured bacterium. Its description in RNAcentral is "partial 16S ribosomal RNA". It matches the Rfam family "Bacterial small subunit ribosomal RNA", at positions 29 to 507 of the family's 1533-position model. The record is from RNAcentral.
AGUGAACGCUGGCGGUAGGCCUAACACAUGCAAGUCGAACGGCAGCACAGUAAGAGCUUGCUCUUACGGGUGGCGAGUGGCGGACGGGUGAGGAAUACAUCGGAAUCUACUUUUUCGUGGGGGAUAACGUAGGGAAACUUACGCUAAUACCGCAUACGACCUACGGGUGAAAGCAGGGGAUCUUCGGACCUUGUGCGAUUGAAUGAGCCGAUGUCGGAUUAGCUAGUUGGCGGGGUAAAGGCCCACCAAGGCGACGAUCCGUAGCUGGUCUGAGAGGAUGGACAGCCAGACUGGAAGUGAGACACGGUACAGACUCCUACGGGAGGCAGCAGUGGGGAAUAUUGGACGAUGGGCGAAAGCCUGAUCCAGCCAUACCGCGUGAGUGAAGAAGGACUUCGGGUUGUAAAGCCCUUUUGUUGGGAAAGAAAAGCAGCAGGUUAAUACCCCGCUGUUCUGACGGUACCCAAAGAAUAAGCACCGGCUAACUUCGUG